Long non-coding RNA from Daphnia pulicaria, 838 nucleotides. RefSeq lists it as uncharacterized. The transcript has 5 exons. NCBI's taxonomy places the organism in Eukaryota, Metazoa, Arthropoda, Branchiopoda, Diplostraca, Daphniidae. The record is from RefSeq and is a predicted model, not a curated record.
GUAUUAUUUGUUAUAUAUUGGUAAGGAAUCUGAUAGUUGUCACUAGAUGGUUAGAAUUAUUCCCGCUAGAUGGGGCGAGUGAAUUUGUUAUUGGAGAAAUUUGACAUUUGUUUCUGAAAGACUGAAACACUGAGAUGAAUGUGUACUUUGAUAUUUUCCAUCGCGAAAAUUAAAAAGAUAAUUAUUGUUUUGAUUCAUUAAGGUUACUUUGAAUGUAAGAUAAUUAUUUGUGAUUUUAUAGGUGAUCCUGUCUAUAAUUUCCACUUGUCUAACCAUCAAGCAUCAACAAUCCCACAACGGGGCCUGAAACUGCUGUAAAUUUUUACUGAAAUGUCUCGUACUAAGCCGCCUGUACCAGUACUACGUCUUAAUCUCAUCCAUUGCAGAACAACAAAUGGCAGCAAUUGAAUACUGUUUUCAUUAAAGCAUUCUUUGAAUAGAUGGCUAUAUACACAUGUUAUUGAUCAAGUUUCAUGGGGGUUGAACAGACUAAUGGAGCUUCUUCAUUGCUGUUUAAUGUGAUGUUUUUGUUGCAGGCAGAUGUUAAAAGAUUUGAAGCACUUUUAACUGAAACUCACAAAGACUAAAGUACACAUAGAAUAACUAAGAAUGAACAAGAAUUUUUAUUUUGGAGGAACUCGCCAAACUCGAAAAUGCAAACACUGAAGUUUGCUAUGUUUAUUGGGCCUGUUAUCUCAAAGAUUCAUUAACAUCCUUGUAUCCGCAAAUUGGAGUGACAUGCGAUGUACGCAUGCAUCUAGAAUCACCGUCCGAAUUCUUCAACCAUAAAGGGGACAAAUCUACGUACCUCAACACUUCCUUAAUAAUCAAUGAAGGC